GACGAACGCUGGCGGCGUGCUUAACACAUGCAAGUCGAACGGAAAGGCCCUGCUUUUGUGGGGUGCUCGAGUGGCGAACGGGUGAGUAACACGUGAGCAACCUGCCCUUGACUUUGGGAUAACUUCAGGAAACUGGGGCUAAUACCGGAUAGGAGCUCCUGCUGCAUGGUGGGGGUUGGAAAGUUUCGGCGGUUGGGGCUGAACUCGCGGCUUAUCAGCUUGUUGGUGGGGUAGUGGCUUACCAAGGCUUUGACGGGUCGCCGGCCUGAGUGGGUGACCGGCCACAUUGGGACUGAGAUACGGCCCAGACUCCUACGGGAGGCAGCAGUGGGGAAUAUUGCACAAUGGGCGGAGGCCUGAUGCAGCAACGCCGCGUGCGGGAUGGCGGCCUUCGGGUUGUAAACCGCUUUCGCCUGUGACGAAGCGUGAGUGACGGUAAUGGGUAAAGAAGCACCGGCUAACUACGUG
This 468-nucleotide ribosomal RNA is filed under the name uncultured bacterium. Its description in RNAcentral is "partial 16S ribosomal RNA". It matches the Rfam family "Bacterial small subunit ribosomal RNA", at positions 28 to 507 of the family's 1533-position model. The record is from RNAcentral.